This 253-nucleotide ribosomal RNA is filed under the name uncultured bacterium. RNAcentral describes it as "partial 16S ribosomal RNA". It matches the Rfam family "Bacterial small subunit ribosomal RNA", at positions 524 to 776 of the family's 1533-position model. The record is from RNAcentral.
UACGUAGGGUGCGAGCGUUGUCCGGAAUUAUUGGGCGUAAAGGGCUCGUAGGCGGUUUGUCGCGUCGGGUGUGAAAUCAUCUGGCUUAACUGGGUGCUUGCUUUCGAUACGGGCAGACUAGAGGUAUGCAGGGGAGAACGGAAUUCCUGGUGUAGCGGUGAAAUGCGCAGAUAUCAGGAGGAACACCGGUGGCGAAGGCGGUUCUCUGGGCAUGACCUGACGCUGAGGAGCGAAAGUGUGGGGAGCGAACAGG